This 405-nucleotide ribosomal RNA is filed under the name Hygrotus inaequalis. RNAcentral's name for it is "partial 28S ribosomal RNA". It matches the Rfam family "Eukaryotic large subunit ribosomal RNA", at positions 784 to 1154 of the family's 3401-position model. The record is from RNAcentral. Lineage: Eukaryota; Metazoa; Arthropoda; Insecta; Coleoptera; Dytiscidae.
GCGAGGCGCACCGCGAGCGCGCGCGAUGGGACCCGAAAGAUGGUUAACUAUGCCUGGUCAGGACGAAGUCAGNGGAAACCCUGAUGGAGNUCCGUAGCGAUUNUGACGUGCAAAUCGAUCNUNGGAACUGGGUAUAGGGGCGAAANACUAAUCGNACCAUNUAGUAGCUGGUUCCCUCCGAAGUUUCCCUCAGGAUAGCUGGCACUCGGGAGAACCGCGCUCCAGCGCAAUAGCACGAGUAUCAUCCGGUAAAGCGAAUGAUUAGAGGCAUUGGGGUCGAAACGNCCUCAACCUAUUNUCAAACUUUAAAUGGGUGAGAUCUCCGGCUUGCUUGAAAAGCUCGGGUGAAGCCGGAGAUCGGAUCAACGGGUGCCAAGUGGGCCACUUUUGGUAAGCAGAACUGGC